GACAGAGGGUGCAAACGUUGCUCGGAAUUACUGGGCGUAAAGCGUGCGCAGGCGGUUGUGUAAGACAGAUGUGAAAUCCCCGGGCUCAACCUGGGAACUGCAUUUGUGACUGCACAGCUGGAGUGCGGCAGAGGGGGAUGGAAUUCCGCGUGUAGCAGUGAAAUGCGUAGAUAUGCGGAGGAACACCGAUGGCGAAGGCAAUCCCCUGGGCCUGCACUGACGCUCAUGCACGAAAGCGUGGGGAGCAAACAGG
This 253-nucleotide ribosomal RNA is filed under the name uncultured bacterium. Its description in RNAcentral is "partial 16S ribosomal RNA". It matches the Rfam family "Bacterial small subunit ribosomal RNA", at positions 524 to 776 of the family's 1533-position model. The record is from RNAcentral.